AACGGCACGUGUUUUCGCCGCACGCACUCGCAUCGCAGGUGGCCGUUGUCGGCGUCUACACGAAGAAGACGAGGUGAAGCGAGGCUCGAGGGAGAAGAAGAAGGCCUUCCUGAUCUCCCGUUUGGACCGCGGCAGUGCUUUUUAUUUACCCCAGGGCACAAGUUCGCCCACAAUAAAUAGUUGUAUCUGUAUUCCCUUAACUGUCCGUUACAAUUCUGGUGGAGGUGCGGGGUAAUGAUUUCCAGCCCUGUUCAAGUUGGAGAAAGCAGCCCGGAACCACGCCAGCUCAGACCCAACGAGCUUACGCCCGUCCACCAGCGCACGAGCCGUCGCCUACGUGGCUAUGCGGAUUCUGGAGAGAUCCCUACACCCUCCAGGAACCUGCUGCACUGCUGAAAGCGGGGAAGUACAACGAUAAAGCACCUGAUCUGCAUGCUUUCACAAAGGAUGGUAAGGAGGUUGAAACACAUCCUUGACAAAACAAGGGGUGCCGGUGGUGCCGAGCCCGUCGCAGUCAUGUCAGCACCAAAAGCUACACAGCAAGGCACUUCGACACUGCGAAGAUCAAAAACAUGUCAUCGAUGCUUGCGCGCAGGUUUUGAAAUGUGCUAAAUAAAAGUUAGAUGUCGA
Molecule: long non-coding RNA, 630 nt
Organism: Dermacentor albipictus
Lineage: Eukaryota; Metazoa; Arthropoda; Arachnida; Ixodida; Ixodidae
Source: RefSeq, a predicted model, not a curated record